Molecule: ribosomal RNA, 216 nt
Filed under: Glomeromycotina sp.
Lineage: Eukaryota; Fungi; Glomeromycota
Description: partial small subunit ribosomal RNA
Rfam family: Eukaryotic small subunit ribosomal RNA (bases 40-216)
Source: RNAcentral
GGGUCAGGCGGUUGGUCGUGCCACCGGUACGUACUGGUCUCACUGAUUCCUCCUUCCUGAAGAACCGUAAUGCCAUUAAUUUGGUGUUGCGGGGAAACAGGACUGUUACUUUGAAAAAAUUAGAGUGUUUAAAGCAAGCUAACGCUUGAAUACAUUAGCAUGGAAUAAUGAAAUAGGACGAUCGAUCCUAUUUUGUUGGUUUCUAGGAUUGACGUA